UNAAAGAGAUAGGAGUUGAACCUACG
Molecule: transfer RNA, 26 nt
Filed under: Polypedates leucomystax (Java whipping frog)
Lineage: Eukaryota; Metazoa; Chordata; Amphibia; Anura; Rhacophoridae
Description: partial tRNA-Gln
Source: RNAcentral